GUCGUAACAAGGUAGCCGUAUCGGAAGGUGCGGCUGGAUCACCUCCUUUCAGAGCUUACGUGCUCGUGUUAAGCGUCCACUCUUAUCGGUUGUUUGUUGUAGCUGGCGUAGAAACUAACUGAUAGCGCUGCUUGCAGCGCUAUCAGUUGGGUUUUGCCCAACAGCUACAUUUGUUCUUUAACAAUCUGGAAGAAGCACAACGAAAACGUGUUCAUCAAGUAAUCAGCGUUGCUGAUGAAGAUGGGCACGGGUUGUGAUUGCAUUAUUUUUUGUUCCAAGUUCUCAAGACUGGGGUGCAAACCUCAGACUGCUUUGAAACUUAUGAACGGCACAAACGCUAAUACUCAGGUCCUAUAGCCUACAGCGUUAUAGGAUCAAGCGACUAAGUGCAUAUGGUGGAUGCCUUGGC
RNAcentral lists this unclassified non-coding RNA (409 nucleotides) under uncultured bacterium. RNAcentral's name for it is "partial contains 16S ribosomal RNA, 16S-23S ribosomal RNA intergenic spacer, and 23S ribosomal RNA". The record is from RNAcentral.